ACGGAAGGCAGCAGUGGGGAAUAUUGCACAAUGGGGGAAACCCUGAUGCAGCGACGCCGCGUGAGUGAAGAAGUAUUUCGGUAUGUAAAGCUCUAUCAGCAGGGAAGAAAAUGACGGUACCUGACUAAGAAGCCCCGGCUAACUACGUGCCAGCAGCCGCGGUAAUACGUAGGGGGCAAGCGUUAUCCGGAAUUACUGGGUGUAAAGGGUGCGCAGGUGGUAAGGCAAGUCAGGAGUGAAAUGCCGGGGCUCAACCCCGGAACUGCUCUUGAAACUGUUUAACUGGAGUGCAGGAGAGGUAAGCGGAAUUCCUAGUGUAGCGGUGAAAUGCGUAGAUAUUAGGAGGAACACCAGUGGCGAAGGCGGCUUACUGGACUGUAACUGACACUGAGGCACGAAAGCGUGGGGAGCAAACAGGAUUAGAUACCCUGGUA
Molecule: ribosomal RNA, 434 nt
Filed under: uncultured Lachnospiraceae bacterium
Lineage: Bacteria; Bacillati; Bacillota; Clostridia; Lachnospirales; Lachnospiraceae
Also listed under: 1 other name
Description: bacterial SSU rRNA
Rfam family: Bacterial small subunit ribosomal RNA
Source: RNAcentral